ACUCAAGUCGGCUGUGACAUCAAGAUCAGGCUCAUGAUCAGCUGUUCUCCGUCCCGGCCGCCGCCAUGGCCUACUAUUUCGACAUGGACAAAAUUUUCAAGGCCCUGCUGAUCAUGAGGGACCACGGGGGCGUCAGGGCGUCAGGGCGUCCCUCUAAAAGCUGUACAGAUGUGCAGUUUAUGGUAGCCUGAGCGCCUGCCAACCCGUUCACAGUGACAGCCUUCAAUAAGACUUAAGAAGCUGUAUUGCCGAGGACCAUAUCUGACUCCAGCGGCUCAGAUGAGGAGGCGUCACGGUUCAGGGAGGCGUGUGACCCCACCCUUUGGAGGACGGCCGUGCAGGGAGCCACCAAGAAUGGAACCUGCAGAGUGGGGGUGUCUGACAAGGAGCCCGAGCGCCCCAGCCAAGGCGACCAUGCUGCCGGGGAAGAUACGCAGCACCCUUGCCGAGCCGCAGGGUAAGGCCGGAGUGUGGAGUAUCAGGGUGACCAAGGAUGGCAGUGGUGAUGGCCAGCUCCUCCAUCAGCCCCUCCACCUCCUGACCAACUCGCCGUUCCCCCGUCAAGGCAGCAAUGACCUCACACACACAGCAGCCAGGGGGAGGAGGCCGGACAGAAUUCACAAGAGACUUUCCUAGUUUGACGGUUGUGAUGUGGAGAGGCUGAAGGCGCAGUGCAGGGCUGUGAUGAUGCCCUCAAGAGUGGAUUCUGUCCGGGCAGGCAGCGCACCUCAGACCACACCUCAAGAACGUCAGGUAUUUGGCGGAGUACAAAUCGCAGGAACGGCGCACUGACGGAACCCUUGUAGCUGUACCGUGCUCUCUACCAGACAACACCACCACCACCACCACCACAGGGAAGAAGAAGAAAAAGAAGAGCUUGGCGUGUGUGUCUCAGGCUGGGAAGGGGGAAAGCAAUUUGUCACACUGGGAAGAAACACACAAUAGCCUUCGGAAUGGUGGGGUCAGUGAGGGUUCAAGCACAAAGAGAAGGUCAGGAGAGGUGUGUGUGUCAGGCUGGGGAGGAAGAUGAAGGAACUGUACAGAGGAAUCACUCAAUAGCCCUCAGAAUGGUGUUGUCAGUGAGGGUUCAAGCACAAAGAGAAGGAGAGGAGAGGUGUGUGAGUCUCAGGCUGGGGAGGAAGAUGAAGGAACUGUACAGAGGAAU
Molecule: RNA transcript, 1165 nt
Organism: Eriocheir sinensis (Chinese mitten crab)
Lineage: Eukaryota; Metazoa; Arthropoda; Malacostraca; Decapoda; Varunidae
Exons: 5
Source: RefSeq, a predicted model, not a curated record